AGAGUUUGAUCAUGGCUCAGGAUGAACGCUAGCGGCAGGCUUAAUACAUGCAAGUCGUGGGGCAGCAUGACUGUAGCAAUACAGUUGAUGGCGACCGGCAAAACGGGUGCGGAACACGUACACAACCUUCCUUUUAGUGGAGAAUAGCCCAGGGAAACUUGGAUUAAUACUCCGUAACAUAUAGAAGUGGCAUCACUUCUAUAUUAUAGCAGCAAUGCGCUAGAAGAUGGGUGUGCGGCUGAUUAGAUAGUUGGCGGGGUAACGGCCCACCAAGUCGACGACCAGUAACUGGUGUGAGAGCACGACCAGUCACACGGACACUGAGACACGGGCCCGACUCCUACGGGAGGCAGCAGUAAGGAAUAUUGGUCAAUGGACGCAAGUCUGAACCAGCCAUGCCGCGUGGAGGAUGAAGGUCCUCUGGAUUGUAAACUUCUUUUAUUUGGGAAGAAACCCAUCUUUUCUAAGAUGGUUGACGGUACCAGAUGAAUAAGCACCGGCUAACUCCGUGCCAGCAGCCGCGGUAAUACGGAGGGUGCAAGCGUUAUCCGGAUUCACUGGGUUUAAAGGGUGCGUAGGUGGGCAAGUAAGUCAGUGGUGAAAUCUCCGGGCUUAACCCGGAAACUGCCAUUGAUACUAUUUGUCUUGAAUACUGUGGAGGUCAGCGGAAUAUGUCAUGUAGCGGUGAAAUGCUUAGAUAUGACAUAGAACACCAAUUGCGAAGGCAGCUGGCUACACAAAUAUUGACACUGAGGCACGAAAGCGUGGGGAUCAAACAGGAUUAGAUACCCCGGUAGUCC
This 800-nucleotide ribosomal RNA is filed under the name uncultured bacterium. RNAcentral describes it as "bacterial SSU rRNA". It matches the Rfam family "Bacterial small subunit ribosomal RNA", at positions 8 to 796 of the family's 1533-position model. The record is from RNAcentral.